This 508-nucleotide ribosomal RNA is filed under the name uncultured bacterium. RNAcentral describes it as "bacterial SSU rRNA". It matches the Rfam family "Bacterial small subunit ribosomal RNA", at positions 216 to 716 of the family's 1533-position model. The record is from RNAcentral.
CGCGUUUGGAGCGGCCGAUGGCAGAUUAGGUAGUUGGUGGGGUAAAGGCUUACCAAGCCUGCGAUCUGUAGCUGGUCUGAGAGGACGACCAGCCACACUGGGACUGAGACACGGCCCAGACUCCUACGGGAGGCAGCAGUGGGGAAUUUUGGACAAUGGGCGAAAGCCUGAUCCAGCCAUUCCGCGUGCAGGAUGAAGGCCCUCGGGUUGUAAACUGCUUUUGUACAGAACGAAAAAGCUCUAGUUAAUACCUGGAGUCCAUGACGGUACUGUAAGAAUAAGCACCGGCUAACUACGUGCCAGCAGCCGCGGUAAUACGUAGGGUGCAAGCGUUAAUCGGAAUUACUGGGCGUAAAGCGUGCGCAGGCGGUGAUGUAAGACAGUUGUGAAAUCCCCGGGCUCAACCUGGGAACUGCAUCUGUGACUGCAUCGCUGGAGUGCGGCAGAGGGGGAUGGAAUUCCGCGUGUAGCAGUGAAAUGCGUAGAUAUGCGGAGGAACACCGAUGGC